GAUGAACGCUGGCGGCGUGCCUAACACAUGCAAGUCGAGCGAGAAACUACUGUGCGAAGAUUUCGAUUGGAGCUUUGUAGUGGAAAGCGGCGGACGGGUGAGUAACGCGUGGGCAACCUGCCUCGAGCUCAGGGAUAGCCACGGGAAACCGUGAUUAAUACCUGAUAAUGCGAAGAAGUCUCAUGGCUUUUUCGCCAAAGAUUUAUCGGCUUGAGAUGGGCCCGCGUCUGAUUAGGUAGUUGGUGAGGUAACGGCUCACCAAGCCUACGAUCAGUAACCGACCUGAGAGGGUAAUCGGUCACAUUGGAACUGAGACACGGUCCAAACUCCUACGGGAGGCAGCAGUGGGGAAUAUUGCACAAUGGGCGCAAGCCUGAUGCAGCAACGCCGCGUGAGCGAAGAAGGUCCUAUGGAUUGUAAAGCUCUGAUCUGAGGGAAGAUAAUGACGGUACCUCAGGAGAAAGCCCCGGCUAACUACGUGCCAGCCGCCGCGGUAAUAC
Molecule: ribosomal RNA, 500 nt
Filed under: uncultured bacterium
Lineage: Bacteria
Description: bacterial SSU rRNA
Rfam family: Bacterial small subunit ribosomal RNA
Source: RNAcentral